UCCCUGGUAGUAUAUCGGUUAGUACACGCGCCUGUCAUUCUAUAGAAAUAUAAUUGCUGACGCGCGAAAGCUGGGUUCGACUCCCAGCCAGGGAG
Molecule: non-coding RNA, 95 nt
Organism: Dendrothele bispora CBS 962.96
Lineage: Eukaryota; Fungi; Basidiomycota; Agaricomycetes; Agaricales
Source: the annotation of a GenBank genome assembly